UNUGACUUGAGUGCAGAAGGGGAGAGUGGAAUUCCAUGUGUAGCGGUGAAAUGCGUAGAUAUAUGGAGGNACACCAGUGGCGAAAGCGGCUCUCUGGUCUGUCACUGACGCUGAGGCUCGAAAGCGUGGGUAGCGAACAGGAUUAGAUACCCUGGUAGUCCACGCCGUAAACGAUGAGUGCUAGGUGUUAGGCCCUUUCCGGGGCUUAGUGCCGGAGCUAACGCAAUAAGCACUCCGCCUGGGGAGUACGACCGCAAGGUUGAAACUCAAAGGAAUUGACGGGGGCCCGCACAAGCGGUGGAGCAUGUGGUUUAAUUCGAAGCAACGCGAAGAACCUUACCAGGUCUUGACAUCCCGAUGCUAUUCUUAGAGAUAGGAAGUUACUUCGGUACAUCGGAGACAGGUGGUGCAUGGUUGUCGUCAGCUCGUGUCGUGAGAUGUUGGGUUAAGUCCCGCAACGAGCGCAACCCUUAUUGUUAGUUGCCAUCAUUAAGUUGGGCACUCUAGCGAGACUGCCGGUAAUAAACCGGAGGAAGGUGGGGAUGACGUCAAAUCAUCAUGCCCCUUAUGACCUGGGCUACACACGUGCUACAAUGGUCGGUACAACGAGUUGCGAGCCGGUGACGGCAAGCUAAUCUCUGAAAGCCGAUCUCAGUUCGGAUUGGAGGCUGCAACUCGCCUCCAUGAAGUCGGAAUCGCUAGUAAUCGCGGAUCAGCACGCCGCGGUGAAUACGUUCCCGGGCCUUGUACACACCGCCCGUCACACCACGAGAGUUUGUAACACCCG
RNAcentral lists this ribosomal RNA (787 nucleotides) under uncultured bacterium. RNAcentral describes it as "bacterial SSU rRNA". It matches the Rfam family "Bacterial small subunit ribosomal RNA", at positions 636 to 1423 of the family's 1533-position model. The record is from RNAcentral.